RNAcentral lists this ribosomal RNA (447 nucleotides) under uncultured bacterium. RNAcentral's name for it is "partial 16S ribosomal RNA". It matches the Rfam family "Bacterial small subunit ribosomal RNA", at positions 29 to 507 of the family's 1533-position model. The record is from RNAcentral.
AACGAACGCUAUCGGUAUGCUUAACACAUGCAAGUCGGACGGACUAAUUAGGGCUUGCUCCGAUUAGUUAGUGGCAGACGGGUGAGUAACACGUGGGAAUCUGCCCAUCAGUACGGAAUAACUUUUAGAAAUAAAAGCUAAUACCGUAUAUUCUCUACAGAGGAAAGAUUUAUCGCUGAUGGAUGAGCCCGCGUCAGAUUAGGUAGUUGGUGAGGUAACGGCUCACCAAGCCGACGAUCUGUAGCUGGUCUGAGAGGAUGAUCAGCCACACUGGGACUGAGACACGGCCCAGACUCCUACGGGAGGCAGCAGUGGGGAAUAUUGGACAAUGGGCGAAAGCCUGAUCCAGCAAUACCGAGUGAGUGAUAAAGGCCCUAGGGUUGUAAAGCUCUUUUAGCAAGGAAGAUAAUGACGUUACUUGCAGAAAAAGCCCCGGCUAACUCCGUG